GAACGCUAGCGGCAGGCCUAAUACAUGCAAGUCGAACGGGAUCCAGGUGUUAGCUUGCUAACAUCUGGUGAGAGUGGCGCACGGGUGCGUAACGCGUGAGCAACCUACCCAUAUCAGGGGGAUAGCCCGAAGAAAUUCGGAUUAACACCGCAUAAGACUACGAGAUGGCAUCAUCAAGUAGUUAAAUAUUUAUAGGAUAUGGAUGGGCUCGCGUGACAUUAGCUAGUUGGUGAGGUAACGGCUCACCAAGGCGACGAUGUCUAGGGGCUCUGAGAGGAGAAUCCCCCACACUGGUACUGAGACACGGACCAGACUCCUACGGGAGGCAGCAGUAAGGAAUAUUGGUCAAUGGACGGAAGUCUGAACCAGCCAUGCCGCGUGCAGGAUGACUGCCCUAUGGGUUGUAAACUGCUUUUGUCGAGGAAUAAACCUAUCUACGUGUAGAUAGCUGAAUGUACUCGAAGAAUAAGGAUCGGCUAACUCCGUGCCAGCAGCCGCGGUAAUACGGAGGAUCCGAGCGUUAUCCGGAUUUAUUGGGUUUAAAGGGUGCGUAGGCGGCACUUUAAGUCAGGGGUGAAAGACGGCAGCUUAACUGUCGCAGUGCCUUUGAUACUGAAGUGCUUGAAUGCGGUUGAAGACGGCGGAAUGAGACAAGUAGCGGUGAAAUGCAUAGAUAUGUCUCAGAACACCGAUUGCGAAGGCAGCUGUCUAAGCCGUUAUUGACGCUGAUGCACGAAAGCGUGGGGAUCGAACAGGAUUAGAUACCCUGGUAGUCCACGCCCUAAACGAUGAUAACUCGAUGUUUGCGAUAUACCGUAAGCGUCCAAGCGAAAGCGUUAAGUUAUCCACCUGGGGAGUACGCCCGCAAGGGG
RNAcentral lists this ribosomal RNA (872 nucleotides) under uncultured bacterium. RNAcentral describes it as "bacterial SSU rRNA". It matches the Rfam family "Bacterial small subunit ribosomal RNA", at positions 31 to 895 of the family's 1533-position model. The record is from RNAcentral.